GAGAUACUCCCUCCGUCCAAAAAAGCUUGUCCCUCAAAUGAAUGUAUCUAGCAUCAAGUUAGUGCUAGAUACAUCCAUUUGAUACACAAGCUUUUUCGGACGGAGGAAGUACAAA
This is a non-coding RNA of Triticum urartu, 115 nucleotides long. The record is from Rfam. NCBI's taxonomy places the organism in Eukaryota, Viridiplantae, Streptophyta, Magnoliopsida, Poales, Poaceae.